RNAcentral lists this unclassified non-coding RNA (573 nucleotides) under Hevea brasiliensis (rubber tree). Lineage: Eukaryota; Viridiplantae; Streptophyta; Magnoliopsida; Malpighiales; Euphorbiaceae. The record is from RNAcentral.
UUUUUUUUUUAACAUACAACACACUUGAGAGCUUUGUGUUUAUUUAAUUACUUUUAAGCAUAAAUAGUGAGUACACUGUGUUGUAGUCUUUGACAGGAAUAUGCCUUUCAAUUUCCUUUGAAUUCCAUCUCAUAUAUUGAACAACUUGCUCUGCUUACCGAAACUCUGCAAUCUCAAACACUCUUGCAGUUCCAUCAAUAGAAGCCGAAACAAGGAAAUCCAGAUUAGCAGACACAGAGAGAGAUUGAAUGGCACCAGCGUGUCCACUGAAAGUUCUUAUGCAAUCACCAGAGAGACUAUCCCAUACUCUUAUUUUUCCAUCCAAACAUCCUGUAGCUAGGUAUUUAGAUGCGCCAAGCCAUGUCAAGCAUGCAACUCCAUCCUCAUGGUCACAUGUGGAGCGAGGUGAUGAAUGCUGCAGAUCCCAAAUGAUAAGCUUCUGAUCCAAGCUUCCCGUUGCAGCCCAAGGGGAACUUGGUGCAAGCCCAACACAUUCAACUGAAUCUGAGUGAGAAACCAGAGAACUAACCACCUUCCCAGUUGUUAUAUUCACAACAUGGACAGAAUUGUCCU